AGUAACGCGUGAGCAACCUGCCUAUGACAGUGGGAUAGCCUCGGGAAACCGGGAUUAAUACCGCAUAAAAUCGUAGAAACACAUGUUUCAACGGUCAAAGAUUUAUCGGUCAUAGAUGGGCUCGCGUCUGAUUAGCUAGUUGGUGAGAUAACAGCCCACCAAGGCGACGAUCAGUAGCCGGUCUGAGAGGAUGAACGGCCACACUGGAACUGAGACACGGUCCAG
RNAcentral lists this ribosomal RNA (225 nucleotides) under uncultured Eubacteriales bacterium. Its description in RNAcentral is "uncultured Clostridiales bacterium partial 16S ribosomal RNA". It matches the Rfam family "Bacterial small subunit ribosomal RNA", at positions 109 to 334 of the family's 1533-position model. Lineage: Bacteria; Bacillati; Bacillota; Clostridia; Eubacteriales. The record is from RNAcentral.